RNAcentral lists this ribosomal RNA (425 nucleotides) under uncultured bacterium. RNAcentral's name for it is "bacterial SSU rRNA". It matches the Rfam family "Bacterial small subunit ribosomal RNA", at positions 354 to 796 of the family's 1533-position model. The record is from RNAcentral.
GUGGGGAAUCUUGCGCAAUGGGCGAAAGCCUGACGCAGCCAUGCCGCGUGAAUGAUGAAGGUCUUAGGAUUGUAAAAUUCUUUCACCGGGGACGAUAAUGACGGUACCCGGAGAAGAAGCUCCGGCUAACUUCGUGCCAGCAGCCGCGGUAAUACGAAGGGGGCUAGCGUUGCUCGGAAUUACUGGGCGUAAAGGGCGCGUAGGCGGACAGCUUAGUCAGAGGUGAAAGCCCAGGGCUCAACCUUGGAAUUGCCUUUGAUACUGGCUGUCUUGAGUUUGGGAGAGGUGAGAGGAACUCCGAGUGUAGAGGUUAAAUUCGUAGAUAUUCGGAAGAACACCAGUGGCGAAGGCGACUCACUGGCCCAAUACUGACGCUGAGGCGCGAAAGCGUGGGGAGCAAACAGGAUUAGAAACCCUGGUAGUCC